UACGUAGGGUGCAAGCGUUGUCCGGAAUUAUUGGGCGUAAAGAGCUCGUAGGCGGUCUGUUGCGUCGGCUGUGAAAACCCGAGGCUCAACCUCGGGCCUGCAGCCGAUACGGGCAGACUAGAGUUCGGCAGGGGAGACUGGAAUUCCUGGUGUAGCGGUGAAAUGCGCAGAUAUCUGGAGGAACACCGGUGGCGAAGGCGGCAUCCUGGACCGAUACUGACGCUGAGGAGCGAAAGCCAGGGGAGCAAACGGG
This 253-nucleotide ribosomal RNA is filed under the name uncultured bacterium. RNAcentral describes it as "partial 16S ribosomal RNA". It matches the Rfam family "Bacterial small subunit ribosomal RNA", at positions 524 to 776 of the family's 1533-position model. The record is from RNAcentral.